This is an RNA transcript of Triticum aestivum (bread wheat), 2801 nucleotides long. It is a transcript of the gene named kinesin-like protein KIN-6, with no coding region annotated. NCBI's taxonomy places the organism in Eukaryota, Viridiplantae, Streptophyta, Magnoliopsida, Poales, Poaceae. The record is from RefSeq and is a predicted model, not a curated record. The transcript has 7 exons.
UUGGGGAAUUCCAAGUUCUAGGGUUUUAAAAAUUGGGGAUUUUCUAGAAUUUGCAAUUUCCCUCCUCCUGAUUGCUUAAACGGGUAAUUAGCACUAACCCGCAUCAGUAAUACCUUGACUGAAAAUAAUUAGCCAUAAACAAGGCUCACUAACCUAAUAAAGUUUAAUUAAACCUUAAGUUGGUGAUUAUCUGGAACGGAGAAAAUCAGGACUUAAACAUGAUCGUUAACAGAAAAGAAACAUCACUAAAAACAUGAUUAGAGUUCUAACCGAGAUUAACCAGCUCAUGAUACCAUUGUUAGGUUAAUUGGCUUUGGGCUAAUCAACUUUAGGACUUAAUCUCGGACUAGAACAUCAGUAUUAUGCGGAAGCGUACAAACUUACAUUGAUUGGCGAAAUCCCAUGGCUGCUCGAUGCAGCCCCUUGUGUAGCCCAUGGCCGCACCUUGGGGUCUCCGGCGAUGAAGAUAUGGCCGGGAGAAAAGCAGCACGUAUAUGGUGUGGACGUGCAUCAGGAGCGCCGCUGUAGGAGAUGGCCACCGGCACUAACCUUGCGGUGGCCGGCGGUGGUAGUCGGCCUUCCAGCCCAUCAGCUCCCUCUUUUUAGGAUCGGUUGUUAGCACUCAGGAGUUUUAACCCGUUUGUGUUUUUCUUUUCUUAUCUGAACAGGUACGUGACCUCUUCCUUUUAUAUGGGAACUGAUGGACCGGGGACCGAAACCAAAACAUUGGGUUUGGGUGCCCCCGAUCAAAGCACCAACGUGGGAUUGGACUCCCCUUCUUUUUAUCUCGGUCUAUUACAACCUGAGAUCAAUUCCAACAUCUUAACCUAAUCAAACUGACCUGGGAUCCAGUGAUGCUGCAUUAGACAAUUUAAAUUAUAAUAUCUAACGUUUGAUGUUCUAUUUACAUAUACUGCCUUAUAUGUGCAUGAUGAAUGACUUAAAUUUGGAGGUAUAUGCUUUUCCGCUAUUUCAAGCAAUAAUCAAAUAAGUAUGGUUUAAUAUUAGAACUCUAUAAGCAACUUACCAUAUCUCCAAUGCUCAUGUGUAUUUAUUUUUUUGCAUACCACCUUCUGCCCUGCUUUAUGUACUAGAGUACUUGUGCCUCAAUAGCAAGCAACACAUCUCCCCUUUAAGUCUGUAUCUCAAUACUGUAUAUGCCAUGAGAUCUGGUUAUCCUUCAACAUUCUGUACUCCGCCGUGCGCAACGUGUUGAAGAAAUUCGCCUCAUCUUCUACUGAUACAAUGCCAUCCUACUAUUUCAGAAAGAGGAAUCAUGCACUCCUGAUGUUACUGAACCCAAGGCGAUCUCAAAAAGGAAAAUACUGAGAUAAUGGGACAAGUGGGCAACAAGGAAUCUGAUGGUUCUGAGAGUUGUUUUGAGCAAACAUCUGCACCUGACGGUGGUGUAGUAACACAUGCACCCAGUCAUUUGGAUGAUCCAUCUGAGCUAAGCAUUAUAGAACUUCAUAUAGUUCCAUGUAAUCUGUCCGCACGGUUUACUGAUAUAAUACAAGUUAGCGACAAAGCUCCCAUGGAACAAAGUGAAGAAGAGGAGUUAAGCAGCAAUACAGAAGUGGAGAGUAUUCAACAUGACAUCGAUAUAAAAGAAAUGAAGCAUCAUGAUUAUCCAAGUUCCUCUCAGCAAGCGAACUCUGACACGGGAGAAAAUCGGCCUUCCUUAGAGCUGCAAGGGAUGGUAUGUAAUCAUUUAAUCCUUUCGUUUUUGCAACUCAAAGGGAAGUCUAGCCUACCCGUUUUUGGAAUCUAUGGCAGGCUGAUGCAUAUUGCAUUCUUUCUAUGGCAGUAUGUCGAUAUGGGUUCCUCCUAAACAUUAAAAAAAUCCAUUUCAGACAGUCAAGAACUCUUCACAGUCCUCCUUAAAGCACAGUGAGAGAUUUCUGCGUAGGGAAAGCAAUAUCAAUAUGCAUGAUCAAUUGUUUUGUAUCUCAAGACCACGCCACUGCAUGGUGCUGCUCAGCAGAAUCCUAAUGAACUGGUGCCUGAGCCAGAAAGAUGCGAGCCCACGGUAAAGGAGGCUGCUGCAGAACACGCACAUGGCCGACAUGCGACAUGCAUGUACCGGAUGAAGGACUUCCCCAGACGAAGGCUUCAAUAGACUGCCAGGCAGAAGGAACCGCGGAUGACCAAAAAGAGAACCUUUGCGAGGAAGAAGCAAAAAGAGGACCUUUGCGCUUCGAAGCCUCGUGAAAACACACCCUAAAAAAAAAGCCUCGUGAAAACACAAAGAAGACGUCAAGGUGAGCGAGCAUACUUACAGAAGGGAAGGCGGCACCUAAAUGCAAAAACCAGCUUGAUAGGUAAUUAAUAUCCAUAAUAUAGUUGACACAACCUGUGGUUUGGUUUGGUGAACCAAGAGGAGGCUACUGCCGGUGGCGGCCAUGAUGCUCAAGGACUCAAGAAGAGGACUCGAAGAGGGCAUGCACACGCCCCCUUUGUCUGCGGAAAGCGUUUGGUUUUGGACCGAUUAUUGAUAUUCUAACCUAACUAACUGGCACAAUGGCUGUUACUGCAGGAUAGAGGAGGCGCCAAGGCAUCGGCCGGCGACGGCAAUUGGGCGAUCGGACUCGCUCAUCUAGCUCCUCAAAGCAUGAGGCAUCGCUGGGGCUAGAGAAGAACACCCACCCACUCAAUUAGAUAAAAUUCAUACCGUCAAAUCACCUUGGUUUGGUGUAGUUAAUUAUUACUUCUCCACGGCGGGUGCUUCUGUAGGAUCUUCACCAAGUCCAGUUCACAACUAAACUUUUGGUGACACAUGAAAAUUUAUCUAUCUAAGAAAA